AGGUGAUUGAUUGUCUUUCAUGUUGCAGAGAAUGCUGUACUAGAUCCUGAAGUCGCUAAAGCAAACAGCCUGGGCUUUGUCGGAUGCCUGUCUUCAGUCCAGUACAACCACAUCGCACCCCUGAAGGCAGCUCUGCGCCAUGCCACCAUCGCACCUGUGACCGUCCGAGGGACCUUGACAGAGUCCAGCUGUGGCUCUGGGAUGGACUCAGAUGUGAAUGCAGUGACCACAGUGCAUUCUUCCUCAGACCCAUUUGGGAAGAGAGAUGAGAGGGAACCUCUCACCAAUGCAGUUCGCAGUGACUCGGCUGUCAUUGGAGGCGUAAUCGCAGUGGUGAUCUUCAUCAUCUUCUCCAUCAUCGGCAUCAUGACACGGUUCCUGUACCAGCAGAAGCAGUCACACCGCACUAACCAGAUAAAGGAGAAGGCAUACCCAGCAGACCUGGACAAUUCCUUCAGAAAUGACAUUGACUUGCAGAAUUCAGUGAGCGAGUGCAAGCGGGAAUAUUUCAUUUGAAAACCUACAGGGUCAACUAAUACUCCUUUGUUGUUAGGUUUUUCCUCCUUUGCAUCUAUCUCCUGUCUCUUAAUUCUGGUCAUUUUCUUUCUCUUAUUUGUUCCCCAUUUGAUUUUGGAACAUACCUGCAUCGACCACAGCAUUUACCCCCUUGACCCAGCCCAGGAGACCAGGCAGCUAUGGCCGCUGUCUUCCUCUUUGACCUAUUGUGCUGGCAGUGAUCACGCGAGAGGCUGACGUUACCACUGUAGACAAGGAGGCGACUCGCGUGUGCACAUGUGCGCGUUCAGUCCUGCACUCCUGUUUCUCAGAUGCGCGUCAGUGCCGCUGCCAUCAGUCGGCAGGCUCACUUGAACCCGAGCCCUGUGGCUAAGCCAUUAUCAGUCGACUAUGAGAUCCUCCCCAUCUCAAGUCCACUCCUACCAGGGAGCUCAGGGUAGGAAAGAAGAUGCUGGCCUGGUUUCCUUCAGCGGCACUUUAAAAGGAAGAGUUGGUUCAUUUUUCUUACCAUAGACAUCCCAUUGACCUAACUCAUAACCUUUUUUCCUUCUGACUCUUAUCCCCUGACCAUUUGCAAAUACAGGAUUCCUGAUUGUAGUGAGCUGUUGUGCUCCCAACUUACCACCCUCUCCAGGCCGGCACCCUGGAACAGCGCACUGCACCCUAAGCAUGGAAUAGUAGCCUACAGCUAGGAGGGAAGAGCGCAGCUAGGAAGUAGAUGUUCUAUAACUGCAGAAAUGCCUCUGCCAAUUUCUUAAGGAAAGCUAGCCAGGCCGUUCCUGGGUUAUUACGCUAAGGUAUAUAUACAUGAGUAUCUGAAGCAUAAAAAAUUCAAAUAACAGUCUGAAAUAGUACCUCGUUCCAUGAGCUUAAGCCAUCUAGAUUCAGUUUAAAACAAAACAAAAAGACCACAUGGAAGAAUAGAAAUACCAAACAGAAUCCUUCCCUUCCAUCCACUCACUACAGAUCUGGUGAAGAGAGUGAUGAAGGUGCCAUAUUUCAGAGCAAGCGUAAUGCCCCACCUCUGUCCACGGAGCCAUCCCCGGGGCGGUUGAGGAUUCACCGACAUAUGAGGCAUGGUGGGCUACAGUGAACACUCACUGCUUAACUUUGGAGGAGCCCAUAGGCUCCAGAGCACAUCACAUCUUCAAAUUUGCCUCAUCUGUGUAUAUAAAGGCACAUGUGUGCACACACACAUGCAUGCACACACAUGUCUUGUGGGCACAGACUGCUAGACAAGGUGGUGACAGAUUUCCUAGUCUCUGCCCCUUUGAUGACAAAGCAUCAAGGAAACACAACCAUUCCUUCAAGAAGGCAUCCCGAGCUCACUCCCCAGGUGGAGGUAGCAAUUUUGCUGCAGCAAUAUGCCUCACUCUCUGCCUCUGGGCCGUCUUGGAGAAAAACAUAAGGGGAAACCGUACAAAUCCUCCAGGAUGCUGGGAAAGCCAAUAUAAUGAUCCACGGAUGUGGAGAGUUCUUGCUGCUUCUCCUUAUGAGACAAAUUCUACUGGGGAAACAAUUACCCCCUCUGUGUUCUCCAGCCUGGACAGUCAGUAUUCCAUCUUGUCCGCAGGGUGUGUCGCCUCUAGGUAUUAACAUGGUCCUGCAAGAGAAGGCUCCCAGUGAGGAAUCCAUGGGCUGCAUAGAUUUCAGGUCCGUGCCAGGCUCUGCUUUCAGAGAGCGUGGUGUAAGGACUCAGUUUGUAGUCACAUCUCUCAACUUGAAAAUUCUCUAACUGCACAGGCUCUCCUUGGAAUAGUCUCUGAAUUGUUACUUAAUCGUUCCAUCAUUUCCAUUAUACAUUUCCCUAGUAAAUUUAUCUUAAUGUGAUUCUAACAAAGGCACCAUUUUUUCUUCUAGCUUUAAUAAGAUGAAUGAUCUAUUAAUAGGAGGGAAGAUCUUUAAAUCCUGCUUUCUCCUGUCCUGUCCUCUCCUAUUUCCACUUUCACUUUAGAGUUUUCUAUUUCUAUAAAAAGUCUGUAUAAAUCAGCCAUUUGCUUGGCUAUGCAGUCCUUUGUCCCCUGAGAGAAAAGUCUCCGUGAAAUGUAGUGGGUUUAGCCCGAAGCCUCUGCGAUAAUGAAAUGGAGAGGAAAAGGAAGGUGUGAGUAAUAAAGCUGGAAAAACAAGGACUCUAUUUUGCUGAUGCUGUGCUGACAGAAGAAAUGGAGGAGUAGAAAGACCCACCUAGAGUGUUUGCUUUUCUCAUCUACAUACACAUGCUCACAGCAGCUCUGUAGGUGAAGAAUUUGAGGUGCACCAUCCCUGCCGCAUCUGCCCUGGAGAACCUGCCAGCGUCCCUCGCUGCAUGUAGGGACUCUGUACACAGCACACUAUGGACCACAGACCUAAAGACAGAUGACCAGACAGCGCAUCUGCAUGCCACUCCUAGCAGAGAGUCUCAGGGUUAUAAUAGAAUUACUUUUACAGGGUGGGGUUAUUUCAUCAACUCAGCAAAUACUCUUUCACUGGGUUUUAUAUGAGAGCAAGCGAGCUGCUUCCUCCAAAGAAAACACUAUUUGCAGAUAGAAACAAGAGCUCACUCUGCCUGUCUUUCCUUCAGUGGUACCACAACCCAUGUAGCUUUGUGCAUUUUUAAAUUGUCUGAGUUUUUCGAUCCUUGAACAAUUAUACUAUAAGAAAAUUUUUGAAAGCCUUCUAACCCCUCCUUCACCACGGAUUCUGCUUCAGUAAUCAUGUUUUCUGAACUCCUGCUCUGGCCAACAGGACCACCAAGUCUCCACUUGAACUCUCAGUCUUUGUCAAGUGCUGUUUACACAAAAAAAUAAUGAAAUGUGGUCACUGUACAGUAAACCAAAAAUACCUGUGCAAUUUCACAUUCUAAGGGGGCUAUUUCAUUGAUAUCCUUCCACCGAAUAAAUCUACUUAUGCAAGCAAUAGUACAUCCCUUUACCAUAUAACAUAUCUAACACCCACUCAUCAUCCGUUGUAUCAAUAAGUUAGAUUGCCAUGGUUUCUAUGGGAAUUCAUCUGGAGAAUUCAAGAUUUCUCACUAUUCUAGAUAUAUUUUUUAUGAAUAGCUUAGCCUCUUCUAUUCACUCUCAACUGCAUAUGAGAGAUUUAUCUUAAGGAUCCUAGGGCUGACUUUUUAAAAACAAGUAUCAUUCCCUUUAGUAUUAACAGACAUGGUAAUAACCCGACUUCCCCCUUUUGUCUGACGCAUGCCCAGCAUAAGGUAGUAAUAGGAGCAGGACCAGAACAAAAGAAAUAGAUUGCUCUCUCUUUCUUUCUUCAUUCAUGAAAUAUUUAUUGAAUGCCCGGGAACCCAGGGACUUGGCCAGACAUUGAGUGUACAGAUAUAAAUUACACCUCAGCCUAGCCCUUGGGUAGUGCGAAGUCAAACACAUGUUGUAAUGGGCACGUGUUGUUAUGGCAGGGCAUGCAUAGAGUGCUAUCGGUGGAUAGCAAAGGUCCUGCACAAUUAUUUUUGUAAAGCCCUUGCUAGAGACUUAAAAAACAGGCAAAUUUCUGGAAAAUAUUUGUAAUUUUUUCUUGGUUAUUACUUUCACCUUUAAUAAGCUGCUCUUGUCUCCUCCUCGAAGCAAAUGCACAUCAAUGCAGGUAUGUUUCUGCAGAGGGAGAGAGCUUGAAUCUUUAGGGACAGCAAGAAUAAAUGUCCCUGUCUCUCACAUAUAUCUGGGAGGCUGAAUGAUACUUAUUCACUUCUGGUUGGGGGACUCUGGAAAAAACUCUUCCCAUCAAUCAGUCCUAAGUGUCAAACAAUUUAGGGACCCUCUUCUCCACUUCUGCUCCCCUCCUCUUUUCUCAGUUCUAACAUCUGGUUGGGACCUAUGCAUGCCAUUGCUCUUCCAGUCCUUCCUAAGUGGUCUUUGUUGUACUCCAGCUCCUCCUACAACCCUCUUUUGUCCUAAUGAGCUAUUUGACUCUCUGAGAACUAGAUGAAGUGUAUCUUUGAGCAAAUAACUGACUAAAUGUUGUUGUCCAUUUAAGUGAGGUCUCAGCUCUGUGCUCUGGCUGAAUUUUUUCAAUCCUGAAAGUCACACGUGUCUCUUCUCUUCAGGAAGCUCAUUCAGUUAGAGGAGCAGAUCUGGGGGCUGUAGGCAGAAUCUUCUCCAAGAUGGUCAGAGAGGUAGGAAUCAGGCCAUUUGAAUUAUUUCUUAUAAAAAGGCUCCACAACUUGUUCACCAACACCUUGGCUUCCUUCCAGUUCUCCCAUAGCUACAAUCUAACAAAACCACCUGGUAACACCAGCCUGCACAGGAGAAUUCCAGACAUUUUCCCUUGACCUAAAUAACUGGAUGCCUUUAGUCUUCAGUUGUCCUAAAGGUCACAAGUUGACCCAAUAAAUAAAGAGGGCCCUUUGUUCCCGCAGAUGCAAAGGUGAUUAAUGGAAGAAGUUGAAGAGAAACUCAAAACUUUCAGAAUAUUUCGAGCAUAGCUGACUGCUAUUUCAUGUCUCUCAUGCAGUUUGAAAGUGUUUUCUCUAAAAGACACACAGUGUAAUUGGAUUACUUCCUUACACUGUCCUGGAGUUGUCCUUAAACCGCUCCUCCCGUCCCCCCACCCACACACUUGUUAAGCCAUCUAGAUUUUAUAUAUUGGUUGUCCAUAACUUUUAUCACUCUUUCAUAAAUUCCAUAUAGUUGAACCUCCUAGAAAGAAUUAAAAUGCAAGAACACAAUAUACAAACACUUCGUAACAAUAGGGCUGCUCUCCAAGCUUUCUGCAGGACAUUCUGUGCACGUCUGAUUAGUAGGGAGACACACACAUUCCCUUUGAGUUGUCAUUUAUUUUAAACCAUCGUUUAAGGUUUUAAUAUUUCACUCUUUGGCUAUUUUAAGUAAUUUUUCUCUUAUUUUGCACUAAGGUACUCUGAGAAAAAACAAAAAAGCACAUUUUUUAGUGAGAUAUUGUCCUUUGUAAACUAGUUGUCUGUCUUUUGUAGUGUUUAUAGUCCACAAAGUGGCUGAGCAGACAUGAGCAAGGCUUAAGACAAAAGUUGUUUUUGGUGCCCCGAGCACACCUGCUGGGGCACGUUGAGGAGGAAUGUGUGGCAAAAAUCGGUUGUUGACCCAGGUGAGGAGGGCCACUGACUCCACCAUGGACCAGUGGCAACAGCUCUUCCCACUCUCCUGGCUCCUAACUCAGGAGUCUCUUUAGUGCGUUUUGAUCAUAGUCUCAAACGUUAGGGAAAAAGGCAACAUCAUGGGCUUUGCAUGAAGAAUUCUUUACUGCGUUUUGUAUGGCAUUUUUGACCCUUCCCAGCUCUACUCCAACCACAUCUUUUUUUUUUCAAGAUUUUAAUUUCAUCAGAAAUUUUCCAGGAUCUUUAGAGCUAUCACCAUAAUCAUCUAACAUGCCCAGGUUGAGCACCUACAUACAUCUUUAAAGAAAAGAAAUGGCCAGAAAGCCCCUAGUCCACUCUCUUGAACUAUCCUGAUUGGAAAGCCCAUUGGUGGAACCCCUGAGGUCCCGAAGUCCAUAGGCAUGUCAUAAUGAAAAAAAGUAUGGCACUCUGCAUUCCUGGAAGGGACUGUUCCAGGUACCUGCCAUCUAACACUGCCCGGGAAUACUGUCCUCCUCAGUCCUCCCUGGUGACACAGAAAAAUUCUUGCAAAUAAUGGUAAAAAAUGAGAAGAGUAGUCCCAGGCCAUGACCAAAAGCGAAGCUAAUUGCUUUAGUGACUAAAUUGCAUCUUAUUUUAAUUAGCAUCAUAUGCUUCAGUCUCAGGUGCCAGAAUAAUCUCAGAGCACAUGCAAAGGUACUGUGCAUGCAAAAGAAGUAUCUUAUUACCCUGUAGAGUCUUUGGGAGACCCACAAAAAGGAACUUUCAGUGGAAUGUUAGGGGAUAAUAUUAACAGGCAUCUACCUAGUCAUACAUUUCCAUACGGUCAACCCCAUCCCACAGGUUUACAUGAACUAUUAACACAGUUCCUUCUCCCUGAAUGUCAGUGUCAACCUGUGUAAUCUUAUCCUGCCUAAAUACUCACACAAAAAUACCAAACCUUGCUUAAAACAGCCUAGUUACAUUGUGAGAGGGACUUUGUGUUUCAUGAGGUCCAACACCAAGCAUUUUUCCUCCUGAAUAUGGUCGUUUCCUGGCUUUCUGACAUCCUGCGCUGUCUCAGGCUGUCACUUUCAUCAGUCAACUGGCAGAGGCAAAAGGGUGCACAGCGGCCACAGGGAGCAGGAGUGCUGGCUGAGGGGAACCAGGGCUCUGCCCCGUGAAUGGUAGGUGAGGAGUCAGCCAGGUUUUUCUGUGGAGGUCCAGAUAGUGAAUAUUUUAGGCUUUGUAGUACAGACAGUCUCUGUUGCAACUGCUCAGCUCUGCUGUUAUAGCGGGAAGGUGGCCAUACAUAGACACAUGGUCAUGGCUACUUCCAGUAAAUCUUCAUUUGUGAAAACAGGCGAUAGGUAGAUUUCAUCCCCAGCUUGCAGCUUGCUGGUCUCCUUGACAGAGCAUUGAAGGGUCAUUUUCAGAUGGGAGAUCCCUGUCACCCUGGCCUGAAGUCCUUUCUGAGGAAUGAGAAGGAAUAGGGAGAUUAAUGUUAACAAUUAAACAAUAAAAUGCAAAACACUUUCCCCAAAAAAUGUACACAUCAGAGUCUUUAUUAUGGCAAAAGAUCCCAGCAGGUCGCCUCUCUUCCUGGGUCUGCCGGAGACUAGCUUUUACCUUUGACCUCCUGACUUCUGUUUUCAAAACAGAAUCCCCAGUGAUGUUGCCUCUUUCCCCCAGUUUUGUAGACCAUGUAACAUGUCUUAAUACACUGUAUGGGGAGAACUGAAAGUUAGCCUUAGAUUUCUUUGUUUUCUAUGGUUACUGUUGUACAGAAGAAAGAUUUAAACUGUAAAUAAUGUAUAUUUAAUAAAGAGAGAAUUUUGUAUGAUUUUCUGUGGAAGAAAACA
Molecule: non-coding RNA, 7401 nt
Organism: Miniopterus natalensis
Lineage: Eukaryota; Metazoa; Chordata; Mammalia; Chiroptera; Miniopteridae
Source: RefSeq, a predicted model, not a curated record